Molecule: long non-coding RNA, 1173 nt
Filed under: Citrus sinensis (sweet orange)
Lineage: Eukaryota; Viridiplantae; Streptophyta; Magnoliopsida; Sapindales; Rutaceae
Description: long non-coding RNA (CSIN_LNC004933)
Source: RNAcentral
AAUUUUCUUGUCUGGGUGAUGAAAUAAUUGAAUUUCUGGGUUAUUAUUUUUUAUUUUAAAAUUUGCACUUUUAUGAUUAAAUCUAAAUCAUAAUCUAAAGAUUCUGCAUCCUGGAAAGAUGCUCCACAAAUGAUGAUUGUUUUACAAGUGGGUAUUUGUUAGAAUUAAUUGGUUGCUUUUUCAAGUUUUUGCUGUCUUAGUCACGGUUGUUCUAAAGAUUGUCAUCAAGAUGUUUGAGAAAAUGUCAAAAUGACUCAUUGCCAAAAACUUUUUUUUUUUUGGGGUCUUAUCGAUUAUCGGGGCUGUCUUGUCUGAUCUUUUUAUGUGGUUUCUCUGAUCUUACAAACAAUCUAAUGAGAAAGCUCCAAUAAUUUCAUAGAAAGAAAAAUUAUUAGAUGGGCAGAAAGAAAAAUGCUGAAGAAUGUAUUACUCCUUUCUCCAAAUGUUUUAUUCUAGUUCUGGGGAAGCUUUUGCUUUGCAUGGAAAAUAUUUCAAGGAAAUGUUUGAAAUGGCUCAGAAAUGAAGGGAGGCUGCAUUGACAGAAGCAUCCAAGUCCAAUGGGAUUCCAAGAAAGUUAGGUAACUCUUAUCCAUUUACAAAUGGGAAAUUUAUAUACAUCUCGGGUUAUUAGAAAAGUAGAUGUAGAAGGUGCUUAUGGGAUGUAUAGAGUCUCAUUAAAAAAUAUCUGAUGCCACGUCCCUUCAUGUGAAAACUUAGCAGUACUCAAACUUAAUUUUGUCAAUUGCAGAUACAAAAUAUCAUGUUUAUUACCACCAUUGUUAUUGUUUCACUCUUACUUCUGCAGUACUCUGCCAUUACAUAAUUUAAUGGCAACCCCCUUAUCGCAAUAUAAUGAUGUUACUAGACACCACACAACUAACUCAGAGGUAAUUUCUGAACAGUAAAACAACUGCAUUUUAUUAAGGAAAGCAGAAAGCUAUUGCAAGGCCACCAUGUGCUAUUGCAUUUCUACUUUGCAAAUUUACCUUUCUUUGCAUCAAUUAUUUCUUUCUUGACAGCUGCAAAUUUUUGGUGAUUUUGUAGACAACAAAAUAAUCACAAUAUACAUGAACCCAUGCUUAUUACUGCUUUUCUUUUAUUGUCUCCCAUCUCUCUCUCUCGUGCUCUUAACGUUACUGUGUUGUCAUUGUUUUGGCAUUAUUUAUGCAUGUG